GAAUAUAAUUUAGGAUUUCGAAUUUGUUAGAGUAUGAGAAAGUUAUUAAACUACAUGGUCCAAUCAUUUUUAUGAACUUUAAUAAAAUCCAAAAUCUUAAAUCAAAUCAACACUAUAUAUACAUGCGUGUUUAUGUGUGUGUACAUAAAUUAAGAACAAACUAAAAGAUUAAAAAAAAACACACACAAAUUCUAAUGUAGUGUACAUUAUCUUAUAGUGUAUUGAUUUUUUUUUAAUUUAUUCUUAAUUUUAAUAUAUAAAUAUACACACACACACAGAAUGGCAGACCUUACUUUAGGCAAGUGGGGGCAACUACUGCAGUUUGAUAAAAAAAAUCCUCUAAAUUGCAUCCAUUAUUUAAAUCUUUGCCUUCAUAAACCUAAAUAAGAGUUGAAAAUUUGAUUCUAUGAACUUAAUUGAAAUGCUUUAUGAAUUGAAGUUGUGACUACUUAAAUUAAAUUCAUUAUUAAAUUACUCGUUAUGAACUAAAUUUCUGGCUUCGUCCUUUAUCUAUACACACACAUGCAUAUACAUACACCAAAAAAAAAAAAAAAAAAAAAGUUACGAACAUUUGUAAUAGCACUUUAGCUUUUAUGUCUAAAAUGCAGCAGGCUCACAUAGACUUUAUUUGAUCGAGCCAACCUAUAAUUUUGUGUGUCAUGAUGUGCCAGUAUGAUUUAGUUCACAAAUCCCACCAACGACGAUCCGACAAAUUUAAAAUUUUUUUGGACCACUCUAAAAUAAUUUACCGAUUGGACGAACUACAUACUCACAAACCUUGCAAGAUUUUUAUUACUUUACAGUACCAAUAAUGGAUGGCGAACUGAUGCAUUGUGACGUCAAGUAAACCCUAGAAAUCGUAAAGAGACAAACGAACAAGCAAAAUGGAAGCACUUUUCAGAAGAAUCACGUCGUAAAUGGACUGCUCUUGAUAUUGUGAAUUUGAAAGUUCACAGUUGUUUGGUAAAAUUGUUGUCUUGCUCAAAGAGUGGGUUCUCUUUUGCAGCAGCCAUACGUUUAAUUAUUGUCAUGUCUCUCUGGAAUCAUUCAUUUCUAGCUUGGACAAAAAGAAAAGAACAAAAAGAUAAAUGUUGUCAAAUUUGAGGGCCGUCAAUUAAAUAUCCUGAUUUCUUUCUAGAAGAGUCGAGAGAGUUCUUCAUUACUAUUAUUAUUAUUAUCGUUUCAAAUUUUCCUUCCUUUUGCUUAACGUGCAUGUCUAGCACAAAAUUGUCAUUGGUCAAAUAUUUUCAUCGUUUAAGAAAACGAAAAAAAAUGAAUGAAUAAAUAAAUAAGUAAGUAAAAAUAAAUAAAUAGAUAAAGCAAAGCAGCCAUUGAUUCAAAAGUCACAAGCACACCUUGUUUGAAAAAUGUAAUAACAUAAUAAAAUAAAAAUGAGAGAGAGAAUAAAUUUUAUAAGUAUUAGGUGGUCACAUGGGUUUGUUUGAUUUGUGGGUUGCAUUUAAAUGCAUUUUCUACAAGUAGAAAUAAAAUAAUACAUCGUGAUCUUAACAUCUUUUUUUCUUCUUUUUUUUUUCCUUUAAUGAUGAUCAUAACACGUUCUAAAAUAUUUUGAAUGUGGUUUUUAUUUGAAAAUAUUAAUUUGUUUGAUAUUUUCCAAGAACAAUUAUAUAAUUGUUGCCGUUACUAUACUUUUCUAUUUUUUGAAGUAAACUCAUCUCAAAGGAUAAAAAAAGAAGGUACCGAUUAAUUCAACUAAUGAGUUAUUAGUAUUUUUUUUUUCAUUAUCAGUAAUAUUACAAAUUUUAUUAAAAAGAUCACAUCAUUUAAAAUACAAAUUAAUUUUACAAGUCUAGAAAUUACUCAAACUUAUAUUAUGAUAUAUAAAAUUUACAACAAAUUUCGCAUCUUAAAUUAUAAGGAAUGCAUUAGUUAAACUCCCAAUUUAAUCCUCAUUCAUUAAUUAUAUGAAUCUGAUGACACUCAAACGGUAUUUCUAUAGCCAAUUUGGAUUAAAUAAUGGAUACUUGAGCCCCAACAUUGCUUCUUCUGGUGUCCUUUGUGCAUCAAAUUUGAAUAAAAAAAUAAUGUUAAAUUCUGUCAAAGAAUAGUUUAAAUUCAAAGUUUUAAACGGUCUAAAAGUUGAAUUAGGCAAUUGGGAGCUACUCCAAUUGCAACCUACAAAAGAAAUCAUCCUUCCUCACAUCAAACUUUCAAACUUUAUUUUUUUUCAUUUUUCUAUCUUUAUUUUAUUAUUGUAUUCAGCUUUUGUUAGCCAUUUUGAAACCCAUGUGAUGGAGAUUCUCUAGCUCACACCUUCCUUAGAGAGAAAACAAAAAGGAAAAAAAGAAAAAGAAAACUUGUUCUAGACUUUCAUCAUGUUCAAUAAAGUAUAAAAAAGAAAAUGAGACUUACCUUUAGACAGAGAAGGUACCAAC
RNAcentral lists this long non-coding RNA (2396 nucleotides) under Citrus x clementina. RNAcentral describes it as "Citrus clementina (C. clementina) long non-coding RNA (CCLE_LNC003373)". Lineage: Eukaryota; Viridiplantae; Streptophyta; Magnoliopsida; Sapindales; Rutaceae. The record is from RNAcentral.